ACUGGGUGACAGAGCAAGACUCUGUCUCCAAAAAAGAAGAAAAAAGAAGAAGAAAGAAAAAGAAAACAAACAUUUCUCCUGGUCUGCCUCUCCAUCCUCCAUCAUGGCUCUGAGGCUCCCAGGUCACUGGUGGGAGCUUUCCCAGUUGGGCCUGCCUGGGAAUCUACAGCCAUUGUCAUCUGCUACCAGCGAGUAGAUGAACACCUGCUGAGUAAGAAGCUCCUCCUGGGGCGUGGAGGUGGAGGCAGGGAAUCCCCUCCUUGCAAAGGAGCUCAGGCAUAAUGAAGAAGUGCUGAUGGACACACAGGAAUUCCCACUCUUCUUUGUUCAGCACUCCAAUGUGAAGAGGUUGAAAGGAGGAUGGUGUCACAGAUUGAAAUGGAAACUUGGUUCCUGUCAUCCUCACUGGCUUUGUUUCGCAGCUGAGAGACUGAAUAUACAAAUGGGCAAUGGCCAGAUCAGAUAUAAAAAUAGAAUUCAGACCCACAGUCUACAGCACCCAGCCCAGGAAACCAGCUCAUGACCUACUGUUACCAGCCCAGGAAGCAGGUCUGCUGCAGACCAGACUCACAGAAGUCAGAUCACUGUCUGUAGUAACAACCCAUGAAGCCAGACAAUAACCUCUGCACGAUGCCCCCAAAUGGCCAGGAGUUAAUUAAUUAUGGACAGCUUCCUUGAUUUUCUUCCCUGAUUCCAAUAUAGGACCAACCAGAGAAAGUCAAAUAUGCACCUCUAAUUAUUCAUAUAGGAUGUCAUGCUUCUAGUUAGCCCACCUCCAUGUAGGUGCUCCCACCCGAUGCCAACAACCUCCCAUCAGGGUGAGCUUGAAGCCUUCCCUCUUUGCCAUUUUAAAGCUUUCCCACUUACCUGCCUGCCUUUGAUUCUCUGCCAAAAUGUAAAAGAUAGUGGCCGACUCCCUUGGUGUAUAUAUAGCAAGCUCUGAAUAAAUGGC
This 952-nucleotide long non-coding RNA is filed under the name Piliocolobus tephrosceles (Ugandan red Colobus). RNAcentral's name for it is "lncRNA (ENSPTEG00000027015.1)". Lineage: Eukaryota; Metazoa; Chordata; Mammalia; Primates; Cercopithecidae. The record is from RNAcentral.